AUUGAACGCUGGCGGCAUGCCUUACACAUGCAAGUCGAACGGCAGCACGGGAGCUUGCUCCUGGUGGCGAGUGGCGAACGGGUGAGUAAUACAUCGGAACGUACCCUGAAGUGGGGGAUAACGUAGCGAAAGUUACGCUAAUACCGCAUAUUCUGUGAGCAGGAAAGAGGGGGAUCGCAAGACCUCUUGCUUUAGGAGCGGCCGAUGUCGGAUUAGCUAGUUGGUGAGGUAAAGGCUCACCAAGGCGACGAUCCGUAGCGGGUCUGAGAGGAUGAUCCGCCACACUGGGACUGAGACACGGCCCAGACUCCUACGGGAGGCAGCAGUGGGGAAUUUUGGACAAUGGGCGCAAGCCUGAUCCAGCCAUGCCGCGUGAGUGAAGAAGGCCUCCGGGUUGUAAAGCUCUUUCGGCGGGGAAGAAAUUGCUUCGGUUAAUACCUGGAGUAGAUGACGGUACCGCAUAAGAAGCACCGGCUAACUACGUGCCAGCAGCCGCGGUAA
Molecule: ribosomal RNA, 501 nt
Filed under: uncultured bacterium
Lineage: Bacteria
Description: bacterial SSU rRNA
Rfam family: Bacterial small subunit ribosomal RNA
Source: RNAcentral